RNAcentral lists this ribosomal RNA (868 nucleotides) under Flavobacterium chungbukense. RNAcentral describes it as "bacterial SSU rRNA". It matches the Rfam family "Bacterial small subunit ribosomal RNA", at positions 59 to 933 of the family's 1533-position model. Lineage: Bacteria; Pseudomonadati; Bacteroidota; Flavobacteriia; Flavobacteriales; Flavobacteriaceae. The record is from RNAcentral.
CAGUCGAGGGGUAUGGUUCUUCGGGACCAGAGACCGGCGCACGGGUGCGUAACGCGUAUGCAAUCUGCCUUUCCAGAGGGACAGCCCAGAGAAAUUUGGAUUAAUACCUCAUAGUAUAGUACGAUCGCAUGAUUGAACUAUUAAAGUCACAACGGUGAAAGAUGAGCAUGCGUCCCAUUAGCUUGUUGGUAAGGUAACGGCUUACCAAGGCGACGAUGGGUAGGGGUCCUGAGAGGGAGAUCCCCCACACUGGUACUGAGACACGGACCAGACUCCUACGGGAGGCAGCAGUGAGGAAUAUUGGUCAAUGGGCGCAAGCCUGAACCAGCCAUGCCGCGUGCAGGAUGACGGUCCUAUGGAUUGUAAACUGCUUUUGCACAGGAAGAAACAUCCCGACGUGUCGGGACUUGACGGUACUGUGAGAAUAAGGAUCGGCUAACUCCGUGCCAGCAGCCGCGGUAAUACGGAGGAUCCAAGCGUUAUCCGGAAUCAUUGGGUUUAAAGGGUCCGUAGGCGGUCUUGUAAGUCAGUGGUGAAAGCCCAUCGCUCAACGGUGGAACGGCCAUUGAUACUGCUGGACUUGAAUUAUUGGGAAGUAACUAGAAUAUGUAGUGUAGCGGUGAAAUGCUUAGAGAUUACAUGGAAUACCAAUUGCGAAGGCAGGUUACUACCAAUUGAUUGACGCUGAUGGACGAAAGCGUGGGUAGCGAACAGGAUUAGAUACCCUGGUAGUCCACGCCGUAAACGAUGGAUACUAGCUGUUGGGCGCAAGUUCAGUGGCUAAGCGAAAGUGAUAAGUAUCCCACCUGGGGGAGUACGUUCGCAAGAAUGAAACUCAAAGGAAUUGACGGGGGCCCGCACAAGCGGU